CUACCUAACACUGUUGCUUCGGCGGGGAGCGCCCCUCGGGGAGAGAGCCGCCGGGGACCACCGAACUUCAUGCCUGAGAGUAAUGCAGUCUGAGCCUGAAUAAUAUAAUCAGUCAAAACUUUCAACAAUGGAUCUCUUGGUUCCGGCAUCGAUGAAGAACACAGCGAACUGCGAUAAGUAAUGUGAAUUGCAGAAUUCAGUGAAUCAUCGAGUCUUUGAACGCACAUUGCGCCCCCUGGCAUUCCGGGGGGCAUGCCUGUCCGAGCGUCAUUGCUCCCCAUCAANCCCGGCUUGUGUGUUGGGUCGUCGUCCCCCCUUCCGGGGGGGGACGGACCCGAAAGGCAGCGGCGGCACCGUGUCCGGUCCUCGAGCGUAUGGGGCUUUGUCACCCGCUCGACUAGGGCCGGCCGGGCGCCAGCCGGCGUCUCCAACCAUUUUCUUCA
This 443-nucleotide unclassified non-coding RNA is filed under the name Aspergillus sp. 1110TES11K2. RNAcentral's name for it is "sequence contains 18S rRNA gene, ITS1, 5.8S rRNA gene, ITS2, 28S rRNA gene". The stretch from base 117 to 270 matches the Rfam family "5.8S ribosomal RNA". Lineage: Eukaryota; Fungi; Ascomycota; Eurotiomycetes; Eurotiales; Aspergillaceae. The record is from RNAcentral.